Molecule: long non-coding RNA, 711 nt
Organism: Ostrinia furnacalis (Asian corn borer)
Lineage: Eukaryota; Metazoa; Arthropoda; Insecta; Lepidoptera; Crambidae
Exons: 3
Source: RefSeq, a predicted model, not a curated record
AAAAAAGGUAGACCUAAAAUAUGACAUUUACAAAAUAUUAGAAAUAAACUCCACAAUUGUUCCAAGUACCCACACUAAACAAAAUAACGAGACCAGAACACAAUCAGUUAACGGUAUAAUUAUUAAAAAACGGUAUAACGUUUCUACUAUAAAAAAAUAACUUUAGUACUUAAAUGAUCUGUGAGGCGGCUUCGGACCGCUGACCUGUCGUUGUGUUGAUUCGGACCGUAAAAAAGAGAAAAGAACAAUAAAAAAAGAAAAAGUCAAUUGGAAAGGACGCUGGACGCUGUGUUUUUCUGAUUUGUUAUGAAAUACGUGCUUUAUUGUUGAUGCGAAAAUUUUUACUGUGCGAAGCGUCUCAAAACAACAAAACAAAACCCGGCGGAAACCGGAAAGGUGUGAGGUGCAAAAUGUGACACACGUCCUGCAGGGCAGAUGCUAUUAUAUGGAGUAAGAGGAGCGAGCAACUACGGCGAGCACGACGCGCAAAGUCCCCUGGGCGCGCCCAGACUUCGGCCGAGAGAGAUAAAGCGACCAUGCUGAAGCUGUCCCAUAAGCCAUCUGACUGUUAAUUACGGCGGGAUCGACCCGUCAACCCCUGCAAGCGCGACGACGACAUAUAGGUUGCGCAAAGGAGGUGGCAGGUCGUUCCAACACCGUGUGGCAGCAAAUCUGAAAGAUCCCCUGAACGCCACGGUGCGAUGCUUUGGG